UACGAAGGUGGCAAGCGUUACUCGGAAUUACUAGGCGUAAAGGGCAGGUAGGUGGUUUGGUUAGUCUGUUGUGAAAGCUCCUUGCUUAACGGGGAGAGGUCAACAGAUACUGCCAGGCUUGAGUCUAGGAGAGGGUACUGGAAUUCCCGGUGUAGCGGUGAAAUGCGCAGAUAUCGGGAGGAACACCGGUGGCGAAGGCGGCAUCCUGGACCGGUAUUGACGCUGAUGCGCGAAAGCCAGGGGAGCAAACGGG
RNAcentral lists this ribosomal RNA (253 nucleotides) under uncultured bacterium. RNAcentral's name for it is "partial 16S ribosomal RNA". It matches the Rfam family "Bacterial small subunit ribosomal RNA", at positions 524 to 776 of the family's 1533-position model. The record is from RNAcentral.